Molecule: ribosomal RNA, 677 nt
Filed under: uncultured Cortinariaceae
Lineage: Eukaryota; Fungi; Basidiomycota; Agaricomycetes; Agaricales; Cortinariaceae
Description: eukaryotic LSU rRNA
Rfam family: 5.8S ribosomal RNA (bases 240-393)
Source: RNAcentral
AGUAAAAGUCGUAACAAGGUUUCCGUAGGKGRACCCUGCGGAAGGAUCAUUACUGAAAUAAACCUGAUGGGGUUGUUGCUGGUUCUCUAGGGAGCAUGUGCACGCCUUGUCAUCUUUAUAUCUCCACCUGUGCACCUUUUGUAGACCUUUUCUGGGUCUAUGUUGCUUCAUUUUACCUCAAUGUAUGUUAAUGGAAUGUGUUGUCCUUUAAUAAAGGAUAUAUUUAUAUAUAAUAAUACAACUUUCAGCAACGGAUCUCUUGGCUCUUGCAUCGAUGAAGAACGCAGCGAAAUGCGAUAAGUAAUGUGAAUUGCAGAAUUCAGUGAAUCAUCGAAUCUUUGAACGCACCUUGCGCUUCUUGGUAUUCCGAGGAGCAUGCCUGUUUGAGUGUCAUUAAAUAUAUCAAACCCUCUCUCUUUUGUUGAGGUUGUGUUUGGAUGUGGGGGGGUUUGUUUUGCUGGCCUUUAAAAGGUUCAGCUCCCCUGAAAUGCAUUAGUGGAACACAGCCCUGUUCAUUGGUGUGAUAAACUAUCUACGCUGCUGAAUGUGAGGGUGAGUUCAGCUUUCUAAUGGUCCUCUGGACAAAACUUAUCAUUUAAUGUGACCUCAAAUCAGGUAGGACUACCCGCUGAACUUAAGCAUAUCAAUAAGCGGAGGAAAAGAAACUAACAAGGAUU